This 403-nucleotide ribosomal RNA is filed under the name uncultured bacterium. Its description in RNAcentral is "bacterial SSU rRNA". It matches the Rfam family "Bacterial small subunit ribosomal RNA", at positions 355 to 774 of the family's 1533-position model. The record is from RNAcentral.
UAGGGAAUAUUGCACAAUGGGCGAAAGCCUGAUGCAGCAACGCCGCGUGCGCGAUGAAGGCCUUCGGGUUGUAAAGCGCUUUUCGGGGAGAAGAGGAAGGACGGUAUCCCCGGAAUAAGGCUCGGCUAACUACGUGCCAGCAGCCGCGGUAAAACGUAGGAGCCAAGCGUUAUCCGAAUUCACUGGGCGUAAAGCGCGUGCAGGCGGCCUGGUAAGUUGGAUGUGAAAUCUCCCGGCUCAACUGGGAGAGGUCGUUCAAGACUGUCAGGCUAGAGGGCGACAGAGGGAGGUGGAAUUCCGGGUGUAGUGGUGAAAUGCGUAGAUAUCCGGAGGAACACCAGAGGCGAAGGCGACCUCCUGGGUCGUACCUGACGCUGAGAUGCGAAAGCUAGGGGAGCGAACG